ACUCCCUCUCUCUUCUCCACUAUGGACAGAGCCUCCACUGAGCUGCUGCCUGCCCGCCACAUACCCAGCUGACAUGGGCACCGCAGGAGCCAUGCAGCUGUGCUGGGUGAUCCUGGGCUUCCUCCUGUUCCGAGGCCACAACUCCCAGCCCACAAUGACCCAGACCUCUAGCUCUCAGGGAGGCCUUGGCGGUCUAAGUCUGACCACAGAGCCAGUUUCUUCCAACCCAGGUGAGUGAGUGUGGUUGCUGAGGUCCCUGCUCCUGCCCCACACCCAUUCAUUCAGACCUGCUUGGAGCCCAGGGGUUCUUGGGUGGGACAGGGAGUGUGGUGUCACCAAACCUACCCCACCUCCCACUCCCUAUCUGCCUCUGUCCUUGCAGGAUACAUCCCUUCCUCAGAGGCUAACAGGCCAAGCCAUCUGUCCAGCACUGGUACCCCAG
Molecule: long non-coding RNA, 442 nt
Filed under: Homo sapiens (human)
Lineage: Eukaryota; Metazoa; Chordata; Mammalia; Primates; Hominidae
Description: HSALNT0095142
Source: RNAcentral